This is a long non-coding RNA of Rhododendron vialii, 749 nucleotides long. RefSeq lists it as uncharacterized. NCBI's taxonomy places the organism in Eukaryota, Viridiplantae, Streptophyta, Magnoliopsida, Ericales, Ericaceae. The record is from RefSeq and is a predicted model, not a curated record. The transcript has 2 exons.
AAAUCCCUUGACAAACGAAAACAAAAUCAAUAGAAAAACCAAAACAAAAACAAAAUAAGCAUAGGAGGAUGAUAAGAAAUCAGGUAAACAAAUGCCAGAUUUAGCCAAACAACUAAGCAUACAAUGAUACCUACAUAAUUGGUCCAAGAGCAACUUGAAGCCAAAUGUGUAGUUUGGUGACCCAUGUGGCAUUAUGAAGAUCUAUUUUUCUGGUUUUGAUAUUUAGAUCUCCAAUCCACUUUCAAACACUAUUUACUUCAUAUUUUUGUUGUCAUGGUCUCUAAAGUGCAAUGGUAACAACAGGGUGGAUGGUGGACCCACCCACCAUAUGAAGCAAUUGAAGAGCCACUCUCACUUCUCAACUUUGAAGAGUAAGAUGAAGUCUUCAAAUCCUGGGGAAUAGUUUGAAGAGUAGGUUGGAGGUGCAAAAUCCUAGGUGGCUCUUCAAAGCACCUGGAAAAAUGGAUUUGAAAAAUGGGUGGGAGUUGCUCCAAUGAUGGGCAACUUCACUGCUUAAUGCUGUUGAAAACUUGAAGCAACUAAUAGUCAAAUUCUCAUACAAGAGACACAAACAAGUUGUGCCCAGAAAUUUCUAGAGCCCAUCACUUGUAAGAGAACUUGUCUUUCCAAUAUCCAAUAUUAAUACGACAAAGUAGGAGCUGUUUCAUGGCCCAAAAAAGAAUAUCAUAAUACCUUCCCGAUGGCAGCAGUGGUGUUUCCUGCUGCAUCAAGAGCAUCAGUUCUCUCAC